This 445-nucleotide long non-coding RNA is filed under the name Salvia miltiorrhiza (redroot sage). RNAcentral describes it as "long non-coding RNA (SMIL_LNC002770)". Lineage: Eukaryota; Viridiplantae; Streptophyta; Magnoliopsida; Lamiales; Lamiaceae. The record is from RNAcentral.
AAUUUCGUUUUACAGUCCCUGUGGAUACGAUAUCCGAUUGCUGUUUAUACUACGAUUACACCGUGUUAGUUGCGGUAUUUUUGUUGCUAAUAAAAUAGUGAUCAACUUUUUGGCGCCGUUGCCGGGGACUGUUUAGAUUUUGCUUUAAUAUUUCCAAUAGGACUUUAUAGUACUGCUAAGUUUUUUUUUUUAUUGUUUUUACUUUUCUUUUCUGAUCUUUUUGCUGUUUCUGUAGGUUGCAUAUGAACACACGAUCUCACGGGAAUCCUCUCUUUGAGUUAGACCCUGAAAUCAACAAGACCUUGCGCAAUCUAAAGAAGCAGAACGAUCAAGCUGAGACAGAAACGAUGGCUACUCCAGAGCAAAUUCAAAUUCGAGCUCUGCAAGAGCAGUUGAAGAAGCUGCUUGAUGCACAGGAGACGAGAGAGGCUCAGAAACAACCCGC